Molecule: non-coding RNA, 125 nt
Organism: Triticum aestivum (bread wheat)
Lineage: Eukaryota; Viridiplantae; Streptophyta; Magnoliopsida; Poales; Poaceae
Source: Rfam
CAUGUACUCCUUCCAUCCAGAAAUAUUUGUCAGAGAAAUGCAUAAAAAUGAAUGUAUCUAGAACUAAGAUAUGCCUAGAUACAUUCAUUCCUCCGACAAGUAUUUCGGGACGGAAGGAGUACAAG